Molecule: unclassified non-coding RNA, 394 nt
Filed under: uncultured fungus
Lineage: Eukaryota; Fungi
Description: sequence contains ITS1
Source: RNAcentral
GUUCAGAUUAAAGAUUGAGUCUUUUAGACGGAAGGAGUUGAGGAGAAGAGAGAUCUCUUGUAUGAAAUGAUGAUUGAAAAGAACAAAUGAGAAUCUGAUAAGUAAGAACAAAAUCACUAUAGACCCCAACAAGUCGUCUUUUGUUUCUCUCUCUGUAUAUAUGCGUUGUGUGAGAUUGUCUCUCUCUCUUCUAUCUAUCUAUCUAUCUAUCCCCUCUCUUUCGAAGUUUGGCCGAAAAGACUGCUGCAAGAGAGGGGCUUAUGAAGAAACUAACGCCUCUUUUUAGGGUAAAAAGUAGAGAGAGAGAGUGCGCGCGUGUGGGUGUGGGGUUAAGAGGCAGAGCAAUUAGAAGGAUUUGAGCGCCAAAGUCAUACAGAUUAAAGAACAGUGCAUG